GAUGAACGCUGGCGGCGUGCCUAAUACAUGCAAGUCGAACGCAUAGCGAAAGGUGCUUGCCCCUUUCAAGUGAUUGGCUAACGGGUGAGUAACACGUGGACAACCUGCCUCAAGGCUGGGGAUAACAUUUGGAAACAGAUGCUAAUACCGAAUAAAACUUAGUGUCUCAUGACACAAAGUUAAAAGGCGCUUCGGCGUCACCUAGAGAUGGAUCCGCGGUGCAUUAGUUAGUUGGUGGGGUAAAUGCCUAACAAGACAAUGAUGCAUAGCCGAGUUGAGAGACUGAUCGGCCACACUAGGACUGAGACACGGCCCCAACUCCGACGGGAGGCUACAGUAGGGACUCUUCCGCAAUGGGGGAAAGCCUGAUGGAGCAAAGCCGCGUGUGUGAUGAAGGCUUUCGGGUCGUAAAGCACUGUUGUAUGGGAAGAACAGCUAGAAUAGGAAAUGAUUAUAGUUUGACGGUACCAUACCAGAAAGGGACGGCUAAAUACGUG
This 497-nucleotide ribosomal RNA is filed under the name uncultured bacterium. RNAcentral describes it as "partial 16S ribosomal RNA". It matches the Rfam family "Bacterial small subunit ribosomal RNA", at positions 28 to 507 of the family's 1533-position model. The record is from RNAcentral.